GGAGAAGUUUACUACAUAGAAAUGUCAACUUGCACAAUUCCCCAGUUCUCAAUAGUCCUUGAACAGGAUCCAGAUGAUGUGGACUCAUGAGAAAGGGACUGAGCCAUGAUUACAAGUUAGGGUCUACUUCAAGAUCACUUCUACUCAGACAAAUAUUUACUUCCCACAGACAUGGAGCGACACAUUCUGUAAGACAUUACAUUACCUUCCAGUACUUGGAAUCACCUGAUCUGUGUUUGGUUGAUCCGAUAGCUGCCUGAAGUACAGGUCACAAAAAUGAGUUAUCACACUCUUCUGGCAGCACUGAGUGGAAGGAAAAAGCUGUAAGAGAAAUGAUCCAUUGUCCUCAAUUGCAUGAACUUGGAAUGGCAGAUAAGAAGCAGAUCCAUUAUUUCCAUCUGCAGGAGACAGCCAUCUUCUGUCUCCGUGAUCUUUACUGUAGAUAAAGGGCCAGAUUUACCCAACCAGAUCUCUGAUGGGAAACACAGAAGUGUAUGUUCAGAAAGGUAAGGUAAGAAAGGAAAGCUGGAGGCACAGUAUGCUUUCAGAGCUUCAGGUUUUGUUUUAGGAUUAGGAUCCCAGAACAACGUUCAUCUUACGUGGAGUAAGUAAUAGACUUAGAGAAGACAGGAAACUGCAAGACAAAGUAAUGUUUCUGCUCCUCCUUCUCAACUUGAUGUUGCACAUGGAGAAACACUGAAGAGAGCCAAUGAUGGAGGGGAAGAAGAUGGUGCUCCAAGCUGGAAAGCCAACCCUCUUCUCAUGUUUUCCUUUCUUCAGUCCUCACUGUAAUAACCCAUCAGCAAUACUCUGGGCUCCACCGAACUCCAUGGGCUCACAUAGACCCACAGAAAAACUGGGAAAAAUCAAAGGCAGCUUUGGGUUUCUGGGGAGCGUAUUUUGGACUACAGCUCCAGAAAGCUUUACAGUGACAAUACUUGACUGUCCUUCAGGAAGAAAACUCUAGGAUUUUUGGUUUCACUUUCAAUAAGAAGCUCUAAAACUGUCACUGUUCUCCCACGAGAAAAAUAAUUCUUGACACGUAAUUUUGUGUCAUUAUGGCAAUCCACCAGAGUUCUGCCUCAGCAAUCACUCAGGGAUGUAGAUGCUGCAUCCAGAUUGCUGAUGUCUGUGAUGUCUUUGCCACCAGGAUCAGACCCACUGGAGAAAGUGAGGCCAGGAUGCGCUCCAGCUUCCCACAACACCCUGGUGGAAUUGGAGCUGUUCAUGUUCUUGGACUGGGACUAACUCCUCUCCUGAUUUAUCCUAAACCCAAAGAAGGCAUCAAGUGCAGCAUCAUGGGCUUUUUUGUGUACCAGAGAGAAGAGCUCAGCAGAGGGCACCAACUAUGUCCAAAGAGCCCUUUGAUGGAAAUAAACAUUGGUAGUUAUGGAGAUAUUCUAGAUAUGACCUCAUUAACCAGAAAUGGAAGGCUUUCUAUAUAAGCCAUUUACUCAAGUAAAAUUAUGCCACAGGAAGGAAUAUGCUUACUUUCACCGUCUCUAUUUAUUAAAAACAUUGUUAACAUGUUCCUUGAUAACUUGAUUUAUGAAGUUUAUGACAAAUUGCUUUCUUAAUUGAAAUAUGUCAGGUUUCUCAAUACUGAAGUUAAUUAUUGCUUCUUUUCUAGUUGAAAGCUGACCUUUAAUUAUACAAUAUUAAUCCACAUAUUGUAUGAAUUAUGUGAAAUAUCCAUUUUGUAUGUAGAGGGAGACAUGCAUGUGUUAUUGUAGUGGAGUACAGUUACAUAAUUAUUUUUAAUUUAGGAUAUCAGCUUAAUUAAAUACUUGCAGAAAUGAAGCUUUUUCAGGAAAUUUGCAAUUACAAUCAAUUUGAAUGUACAGCUACAUUAAUAUGGUGACAAGCCCAAUAAUAAAAACGAACUAAGUAAUUAUGGGCAGGUGCUGAACAGAUGUGUAAAUACAAGGUCUCUGCAUGGAACAUAGUUAUAUAUCAUUUUGAAAAGCAAAAGAAACCUGUUAUCCAUAGCCAUUCGUAUAUGCAGCCAUAAUCAGUCACAAAAAAGUUAGUUCUUUCAAUUUAGAUAAAUCACUUAAAAAUGUGUAUGGCACUUAGGCUUUCAUUUUCUGUUUCUGGAAAGAAAGUCUAGUUGAUUGAAGACUGCUGCUCUACUGUACUCAAAGAGUCUGCCGCACUAUUGAAAUACAUUCUUCUUUCAACACGUUUAUGAUGAGUGGGUUUUCAGUUUGGAAUGGUUUAACAGUCAAAACAAUUCACAUUCCAUAUUACAAGUUGAGCUUUAUUUAAAGAAGGAGAGAGGCUAAGACUAGUUUAGGGUUGUUUGCUCAAGUUAUCAGGUUGC
Long non-coding RNA from Hirundo rustica (Barn swallow), 2323 nucleotides. RefSeq lists it as uncharacterized. The record is from RefSeq and is a predicted model, not a curated record. The transcript has 3 exons. NCBI's taxonomy places the organism in Eukaryota, Metazoa, Chordata, Aves, Passeriformes, Hirundinidae.